RNAcentral lists this ribosomal RNA (446 nucleotides) under uncultured bacterium. RNAcentral's name for it is "partial 16S ribosomal RNA". It matches the Rfam family "Bacterial small subunit ribosomal RNA", at positions 338 to 795 of the family's 1533-position model. The record is from RNAcentral.
CCUACGGGGAGCUGCAGUCGAGAAUCAUUCACAAUGGGGGAAACCCUGAUGGUGCGACGCCGCGUGGGGGAAUGAAGGUCUUCGGAUUGUAAACCCCUGUCAUGUGGGAGCAAAUUAAAAAGAUAGUACCACAAGAGGAAGAGACGGCUAACUCUGUGCAAGCAGCGGCGUUAAGCAGGAGGUCUCAGGGGUUGUUAGGAAUAAUUGGCCGUAAGCCGUGCGUAGGCUGUUUCGUAAGUCGUGUGUGAAAGGCGCGGGCUCAACCCGCGGACGGCACAUGAUACUGCGAGACUAGAGUAAUGGAGGGGGAACCGGAAUUCUCGGUGUAGCAGUGAAAUGCGUAGAUAUCGAGAGGAACACUCGUGGCGAAGGCGGGUUCCUGGACAUUAACUGACGCUGAGGCACGAAGGCCAGGGGAGCGAAAGGGAUUAGAUACCCCUGUAGUC